UAAUGAGCGACUAAAAUUAUCAUGUAAGUUUUGUAUAAGGUAAUAUCACAAGGGACAGAAACAACCAAAAGUCGUAAUUUUUAAGAAAGCCCAGAAACUUAUCAUCAUUAUAAUAAUUAUUAAUGGAAUUAGCAUUAUUACACCAAAGCCUAUGGAAGGAUAUCAACUAAAUCCAUUCUCAAAAUAUGCAGCAAAAUUCAAAAAGGUUGUUCAAG
Molecule: unclassified non-coding RNA, 215 nt
Filed under: Hevea brasiliensis (rubber tree)
Lineage: Eukaryota; Viridiplantae; Streptophyta; Magnoliopsida; Malpighiales; Euphorbiaceae
Source: RNAcentral